Oncorhynchus tshawytscha (Chinook salmon) is the source of this 72-nucleotide small nucleolar RNA. The record is from Ensembl. NCBI's taxonomy places the organism in Eukaryota, Metazoa, Chordata, Actinopteri, Salmoniformes, Salmonidae.
AUUAGAUGAUGAAUCUAUCCAGAACCUGAUUUCAUGUGAAUGAAACUCGUAUACGGAUCUGACUGCUGAUAU